Molecule: long non-coding RNA, 1030 nt
Organism: Zalophus californianus (California sea lion)
Lineage: Eukaryota; Metazoa; Chordata; Mammalia; Carnivora; Otariidae
Exons: 6
Source: RefSeq, a predicted model, not a curated record
GGCUAUCAGUCUAGAUGUGAAACGUCUGUGUCCAGAGGGGGUUUUCCCCUGUUAACUCUAGCCCAGGCAGCGUAGAUAAGGCUUAUGAAGGAGAGCUAUGGAAGGCGAGGAACCAGGAAUUUAACUGGAAGCACGUGAGAAACAGGACUGCACCAUUUUGUGCUCUUUCUACAGGCUUCGUGUGCGCUGCGUCUUGAGAUCACAACAUGAGUAAGAUCUAGCCCUUCAAAUGACUGCAAUGAGGGGGAAACUGAGCUGUGAGAAGAGUGGUAAAGGGGACACAAGGAGGUACCCAUUCGGGAAACUACCCCGGCUCUAUUCCCGCUGUUCUUGAAGGACAGGAACUCUGGAGACUCUGGAACUCUGGAGAUUCUGGAAAACCUGACAGGCUGGAGAAGUAUAAGGUCCCUCAGCUCUCGGAGUUCGGUAGAGUCAUGUAACUACUUCUGGGACAUGGGCUCUGGGCAGGUGACGUGUGGUAUUUUGUAGAUGGAACAGAAAAGCCACUGUGCACCCUGCCGGCUGUGAGCUCUCCUGCUCUAACACCCAAGAUCGCCUCCUCUUGCCACCAUGAAGCAGAGAAGGUGCACUUGAUUGAGCCUUGGUUGCUGAGUCGCUGCAUGGAAGGUGGUGACCCAGGGGAGUUGCACUGAUAUUCCCAUGAGAGAGAAAAGCAUAUUACGUUAACCUGCUGCAAGUUUGGGGUUAAUACAAAAAUGCCCAGGAUUGAAAACGUAAAGAAAUUUGAGAAAGACACAAACUUGCGGAGGGCCAUUCCACAAGAAGCUGUAUGUUUAGGAAAUGGAAAUCUGAGCUGUGUCACAGAAAAGUGACUUCACUGGUGGAGGACACAUCCAGUUUGGAGCAUUCUCAUUGAAGGAGGAAAGAAUGAUAUGGGUCAUCCUACAUGACAAGUAGAAUUUCUACUUUUCAUUAAAGGCUCAUCUUACAAAUCCUCUUCCAAGUGAAACCUCUCCUGAUUCUUCCAUCCUUACUUGAUUUUCCCUCUUCUGAGCAUCCAGAGAAAUUG